Lonchura striata (white-rumped munia) is the source of this 2122-nucleotide long non-coding RNA. Lineage: Eukaryota; Metazoa; Chordata; Aves; Passeriformes; Estrildidae. The record is from Ensembl.
UGCUAAUCCGCUCCUCUGGCUCCCCCCACCUGUCCUCCCAGGGUAAACUGAGGCACAGAACGAGCAGGGUUGUACAAACAGCAGCAUCCCGCGGGCAGCCCGUGCCGACAUCACCGCACACGGAUGGGGGAGCAGGGAAGGAGCCCCAGAACCCUCCCCAGGCUCAUCCCUGAGCCUCUUCCAGUAGCCAGGGGUGGGUCCCUGGGGGAAAAGGCCCCUCUGUGACCUUCAGGACACUUCAUGCUCCCUCUCCUUGCUCCUGCAGAGUCGGUGCCGAUGGCGGUGAUCAUCGGAGUGGCCGUGGGGGCCGGCGUGGCGUUCCUGGUGCUGAUGGCCACCAUCGUCGCCUUCUGCUGCGCCCGCUCCCAGAGGAAUCUCAAGGGUGUGGUUUCUGCCAAGAACGACAUCCGCGUGGAGAUCGUGCACAAGGAGCCGGCCGCGGGCAGGGAGGCGGAGGAGCACCCGACCAUCAAGCAGCUGAUGAUGGACCGGGGGGAGUUCCAGCAGGAUUCGGUGCUGAAGCAGCUCGAGGUGCUCAAGGAGGAGGAGAAGGAGUUUCAAAACCUGAAGGACCCCACCAACGGCUACUACAGCGUGAACACCUUCAAGGAGCACCACUCCACCCCCACCAUCUCGCUCUCGGGCUGCCCGGCCGACCUGCGCCCGGCCGGCAAGCAGCGGGUGCCCACGGGCAUGUCCUUCACCAACAUCUACAGCACCCUGAGCGGGCAGAGCCGCCUCUACGACUACAGCCAGCGCUUCGUGCUGGGCAUGGGCAGCAGCUCCAUCGAGCUGUGCGAGCGCGAGUUCCAGCGCGGCUCCAUGAGCGACAGCAGCUCCUUCCUCGACACCCAGUGCGACAGCAGCAUCAGCAGCAGCGGCAAGCAGGACGGCUACGUGCAGUUCGACAAGGCCAGCAAGGCCUCCGCAUCCUCCUCCCACCAUUCCCAGUCGUCUUCCCAAAACUCGGACCCCAGCCGGCCCCUGCAGAGGCGGAUGCAGACGCACGUUUGAGCGCCCCGGGCCGCUCGGACCCUCCGCGUGGGCGCCGUGGCUGCGCGCUCGGACAGUGGCGCCCGCCGGCAGCGGCGUGGCCAGAGGCCGGCUCCAGCCCCCGGAGCGGGGCUGCGGGCAGGGGCCGGCCGAGCACCCCCUCCCCGGCACACGCUAAGCACAACCCCGCCGAGGACGCGCCGAGCCCCGCGGAGCCGUCCCCGCCGCGCAGCCCCGCCGCUCGCCUCCGCUUCCCGCUGCCCUCCCCCGCCGCCUCCCCUCCCUUCGUGCUGUUCGGUGUCCGUACUUAUAGAGUCCGUUUCGGGGGGUCCCGCCGUGGGGACAGGAGGUGGGCACAGCGGUGGGACAGGGACUCCCCGGGAAGGGCCUCUCCACGCUGUAUCGCGGCACCGCGGUCAAUACAAGAGGUGUUUCUCGUGGCACGCCUGGGCUGGUGGCCGCCCCGCGGGGACAUCGGCUUCCCUGCCACAGAGCUGGCCUGGAGUCCGGGUGUGCCAUGGGGCAGGCCCCAUGGGGGCAGAAAUGGCCGGUGGUGGAGGGAAACUGAGGCACGGGGCAGCUGGGACCCCAGCGUGGGAGCCAGGAGAUGGGGCGUCACAACAGGUAAGGGGAUGCGGGGACACAGUGGCAUGGGGACAGGCCACCCUCCCUGCACCUCACAGCCCCAAAACUCCCUCACACCCCCCAUCGUGCCCCAGGAGCACCCAGCCCAUCCCAGCCUCACCAGGACUUUAUUGGGUGCCAGCAUGAGCCCCAACACCCCCAUCCAUGGGUCCCCCCGACACCUGCAGCCCCACGGGGGCAGAGGGGACCCUACACCAACAGGGAGAAGGCACCAGUCAACCCCUCCAUGGUGAGGGGACAUCCCAAAUGCCCACCCCUGCAGCCAAGCACACACCCGCCCACCCAAGGCCCCCCCGUCCCUGACACCAGUGGCAUGCAGGCCCUGGGUGAAAGCUCCACCAUAAAUAAGCAUUUAAAUUAAUUAAAUUAAUCUGCACCACCAAAGGGCCCUGGCAGAUCCCGAAAGCCAAGCACCCCAGGGUGCCCCCACCCAGGGGGGCUGUGGGGACGAGUCCCUACACCAGCGCUAAGGCACAGGACAGGG